Molecule: long non-coding RNA, 1615 nt
Organism: Microplitis mediator
Lineage: Eukaryota; Metazoa; Arthropoda; Insecta; Hymenoptera; Braconidae
Exons: 3
Source: RefSeq, a predicted model, not a curated record
GUGUGGAUGACGUAUGAAUGGAUGAAUGGCUAGUGUGUACUGGGAUUUAUUUUAUGAUUUAUUAGUUUUUAAAAGACGACUAAUAUAACGGGGUUACAAGUUUAUGACUCAGGAAUUUCGGGUUCAAAUUUCGCGGAAAAUGGUCUCGCGGUUAAGUUUCAAAUGGCGACUAGUAAGAACUGAACUGAGGAUCCACUGCUACGAAAUAAAUUUAGCGCCAGUGUCUGCUUCCUUGAGAAUGAAAAAAUUGUCGCAGAAAUUUGCGGCACCGGGAAUCGUAAUACCAGGGAAAGACGGCCCACCUGGGGCAAGAAGGCCCACCUCAAAAAUUAACCACAAAUUUUUUUUCUUGUUUUCUUUUGAUUAUCACAAAUUUAGAUUAUUUACUCAUUUUUAGCCCGAUACGUGAAACUUGGGGCAAAAUGAACCACUCAAAAAUUCUAAAAGAAAAUGUAUUUCAUAGUAUUAUAACCUAGUCAUGAUUAAUUUAAUAGAAAUAUCAUUUUUUGGUUAAUUAUAUGGAUUUGGAUUAAAAUAGAUUUCAAUUCUGUACAAAGUGCUUCUCCAAGUAUCUUGCCGAAUUCCAUUGUACUAUAGGGGUGUUAAAUAAAAUUUUCCGGUGUUAAAAUAUUUCACUUUGCACGGCGAGAAAAAUCUCGUCAAAACAACUGAACAUUUUGUUACUACAGCUAUACUAUCUAUAGUCAACUUUUUUUACGAUAAUCUGUAUAGUCAUUUUGGCGAUCUAAGUAUCUUCGCAGCGUAACGUCAAAAUGGCAAUACUAUUGUCAUUAUCCAUGCAGGAGCUGUCAGAGUUGAACGACGGAGCCCUACUUGGCCCAGCACUGGGAAACCCAGCUUGGGCUUACUUAUAUUGGCCCAUGCUUGGGCCAUAACUGGGUACUCGAGCUUGGUCAUUCUUAUGAUUAGCCAACUUUAGGCCAGACCUGUCUAAUCCAAGUUCGACCAUGAGUUAUAUAUGUUAUGUGCGUCAAUUCAUUAUGUUUAUCAAGAAAUAUGUACUCUAAUCCCAGAGUCUCCAAUAAUCAACCAUUGUUAUUUUUAACUGUAUCCAAAUGUAUAAAGUACAAUAAUAAUGAGAUACGGCUAGACGCAAUAUAAAACAGUGCUCUAUUUUACUUGGAGUAAUUAUUUAUAUUUAAAUGCAUUGAAAAUAUUUUGUAUUAAAACUAUAUAUCUUGUGUCCUUUAAUCAGCUACAUGCUACUACCUGAUUAAAUUAGCAGUAUAAAUAAUAGUCAAUAGAAGCGGUAAAUUUCCUCCAGGUAAUUUUGAUAAAAUUUGUUUUAUCGAAACCUAGUGAUGUGAGUAAUCAAAAUAAUGGAAAUUUAUCUCUUUACUUUACUGUCAUACUUUUGAGUCCUUAAAAAAUUAUCCCAAUCUUUUAGAACAAAAAAAAUUGUUUAUAAAUAUUAAGUUCAUAUUGUUUAUGUAAUGCGAUACCAGCAUUCGAUAAGCUAUAACUGUUUUCACCUGAGUUGUCAAAAUUCAAUCAGCGACUUUAAACAGCUGGGAGGAAGAUGUGAAAUUAAUGGCAAAUUUGAACAAGAAUUUAAAAAUAUAUUUCAUGAAAAAAUAUGUUAUAUAAAAAAUAU